This 1205-nucleotide long non-coding RNA is filed under the name Ictidomys tridecemlineatus (thirteen-lined ground squirrel). Its description in RNAcentral is "lncRNA (ENSSTOG00000032423.1)". The record is from RNAcentral. Lineage: Eukaryota; Metazoa; Chordata; Mammalia; Rodentia; Sciuridae.
GACAAUAACUGCACAAUUCAAAUUGUGCCCAUUUUCCAGUUGGCCGAACUGAUACCCAGGCUGAUAAGCUAAAGCGCCCAAGGUGACACAGUGCGCAGAUGGCAAAGCCCCAACUGCAACUGCGCCACUUGUUCUGCAGGGCGCCUGCUGCCCAGGACCUGGAAGGGUCGCCGCCCCAGCUCUCACCAGCCCCAGGAAGGCCGCGUACAGGAUCGCGGUGGUGAACCAGCGCAGCACGCUCGCGGCCCGGCCGCUGGGCGGGGAGACCCGCACCGUCUCCAGUUCAUCCUUUGCCGGGACGUCGGCCUGGAGGAGCCCCUGCCCCGCAGCCGCUGCCCCGGCACCAUGCAACUCCAGUUCCAGCUCCAGCUCGGCGGCUCUGAAAUGGUCUUGCUGAGAUUGCUUUUCAUCUGAGCUUCGGGUGUUCCAAGGUGAGACCUCUGAGGCCAGGGGACCCUCGCCAGCGGCGGAGCCAACCGAAGCUGCAGCCUCGGAACAACAAAUUCCGGGGGUGAGAGGCCACCAAACCUUCAAGAGGAAAUAUGAGCCAAGGGCGGAACCUUGUGUGGGCUCUCCCUGUCCGGGAGCUGAGGGAAUGGGAGGAUCUCGCCUUGCAGACUUUCCAAAAUCCCUUCUCCUCCUCCUUUCGAGAUAUGAGGUUUCUAGGUCUAUCCCAGAAAAGCAUCUUUUACUCCAUAAAUUCUUGUUGAAACUCCUGUGUAAGCUUUCACAUUGUGCUCAGUUAAUUUAAAAUUUUAACACUCACAAUAACACUCUGAAAUCCACCAUAGUCCCCAAAGUACAGAUUGGAGGACUAAGACAGAAGGAAUAAGUAACAGUGUGCUCGGGGGUCAGUCGAAUCAGUGGCAACUGGUGACGGGUGACCAAAAGAAGGUCAGGAAAGAAAUCAGCUCUACAGCUGCGGUCCCAAUCCCACAUCUGCUCAAUUCCUGCAGUUUAAUUCCCGUGUUGUAAAGAAAUGAAGAAGGACAGUGGUUUGGGGGAUUGCUGAGUAAAGUUCUACCUGAUGAGAAAGAAAGAAGUUUAUUCGAUACCAGUUUUAGUUUCUGUUUUCUUUUGCUUUUUAGCCUACCAGAGCACAUCUCAAAAUGUGAUGUAAAUGUUUGUCUUUAUCCUCCCUCUGAAAUGUUUUUUUUCACCUGAUGUCUAUUUCCCUCCCUCCCUCUCCCUCCCUCCCUCUUUCC